Salvia splendens (bonfire salvia) is the source of this 366-nucleotide long non-coding RNA. RefSeq lists it as uncharacterized. NCBI's taxonomy places the organism in Eukaryota, Viridiplantae, Streptophyta, Magnoliopsida, Lamiales, Lamiaceae. The transcript has 2 exons. The record is from RefSeq and is a predicted model, not a curated record.
CACUACCAUCAAUAUUUUUCUUCAAGUGAGGAUUUAGAAAAUUUUCAAGCAAAGGAGAUGAAGUCUCUCAUCACCGCAUUCAUUUCUUCUUUUCGUCAAGGUUGAGCAGUGAUGAAAUGGUGGUUGGGUGGAGUUGGUGGUCGUCUCAUCUCUUUUGUAGGAUUUUCGUGGCAUAUGUCUUCAUACAUAUGGCCAUGUGUUUACAACUCCUUCCGUUGUGCACUAUUGUAAUAUUAUGUACUAGAUGGAUCAUAAGAACAAUGGUUAGUAACGAGUGACUUAUGUUAAACACUCUUUGAAAUUUCAUGAUUCUUUCGUUGUCUUGUGAACCUCAUUUGUAUUAUUAAGAAGUACUUUUUGGUCUUA